RNAcentral lists this long non-coding RNA (431 nucleotides) under Manacus vitellinus (golden-collared manakin). Its description in RNAcentral is "lncRNA (ENSMVIG00005001071.1)". Lineage: Eukaryota; Metazoa; Chordata; Aves; Passeriformes; Pipridae. The record is from RNAcentral.
CGCCCGGCGCUGGCGCCGCCCGCAGCUCCCGCCCGCCGCUGCCUAUUUUAGUCACGGCCGCGGCUCCGUGCCCGCCGCGGGACGCGCUGCCGCAGCGCCGAGGAGCGGCAGCUCCAGGCUGUCCCUGUCCUGUCCCGGGCGGCCGGGAAACUUUUCCCAGGACGCGAGGCAGGACAGUGAAACUGUUCUCCUGAUUCUGUUGAUGAAUUCAUUUGGAAGAGCUGAAAGACAGUAGGACUGUGUUUGGAUGGACCUGAUUUUGAUAACAUCUGUCUAGGAACAGUCGUGUUCCUCCAGCUGGGAACUGUUUUGGGUUGAGAAGACCUCCUGGAAUGCUUGUAACAUUGACUGCAGUUCCCUAAAGAGUGCAACUUUUAAGAUUCUGAAGGUAGUGUCUUGAAAUCUUCUAUGUUCUCCUUGUAGUUUGUUUU